This 407-nucleotide long non-coding RNA is filed under the name Marmota monax (woodchuck). The record is from RNAcentral. Lineage: Eukaryota; Metazoa; Chordata; Mammalia; Rodentia; Sciuridae.
UGAGUAUUCUUCCUCCUCUGAUUCUUGGGUACUUGGUAGAUUAUUUUGUAAUUAUGUUCUCAGUUCACUAGGAGGAAUAACAGUGCUUCAAAAUGAAAGUCAGGAGCAUUUGUGAUUCAUUAUGAGAGCCAGGAAGAGGGAAGUCAGGAUGAGGAAUUAGGCACUAAGGUCUGACUCCUCCCAGAUUCUUACAUGAUCCAGUUCACUAUUUCUUCCCUUUGUGUGGCAGGAGGAACUGGAGCGGGACAAGAGGGUCACUUGGAUUGUGGAGUUCUUUGCCAAUUGGUCUAAUGACUGCCAAUCGUUUGCUCCUAUCUAUGCUGACCUCUCCCUCAAGUAAGUUAGUGCAAAGGGAGGGAUAAUGGAAAUUGAGAUGCAGUACCUUCCUUCUUAUUUUUGGCCUUGAC